This 1696-nucleotide unclassified non-coding RNA is filed under the name Apis florea (little honeybee). RNAcentral's name for it is "peptidyl-prolyl cis-trans isomerase FKBP8, transcript variant X3". The record is from RNAcentral. Lineage: Eukaryota; Metazoa; Arthropoda; Insecta; Hymenoptera; Apidae.
UAAUAAUAAAAAUUAAUGAUUCAUACAUAUCACUUAUUAGGUUACUUAUACAUUGUAAAAUUCAUAAAAUAAAAAUAUUUAUUUGUCGUAAAUUUAUCUCAAUAAUUGAAUCGAGCAAUUGAAUAAAACUAAUUAAUUCAUAUAUAUUUACGUAAUCAAAUGGCUUAAAAAAAUUCGAUUAUCGAUUAAAUAUUUUCGAUAUUUUACUAAUGCUUAUUUCAAGUAAUAAGUGAAGUCAACUGAUAUCGCGUGUAUUGCGAAACAAAUUAUUUCAAAACAUUUUUAAUGACUGUUCAAACUUUUGAAAAUAAUAAGAUGGAAGAUGAAUCUAAUCAGUCAGGAUCAACUCAAGCUGAUUUCAUUAAUGAAGAAUUGAACUUUGAUAUAGAUCCAAAUGAACCAAUGACAAAAGCAACUUUAAAUGAACAUCCACCCGAAGAGUGGAUAGAUAUUUUAGGAAUGGACAGACUUAAAAAAAAAGUUAUAAAAAAUGGAAAAAAUGGAACACGACCAAAUAGAUCUGAUAUUUGUACUUUAAAAAUUAUUGGCAAAUUAAAAGAUAAUACAAUUGUUGAAAAAUAUGAAGAUCUUAAAAUUCAAUUAGGAGAUGUUGAAUUGAUUCAGGGAUUAGAUUUAGCAAUUGCAUUAAUGGAUGUGAAUGAAAUUGCUGAAAUUGAGGUUGAUCCAAGAUUUGCUUAUGGUUCUCUAGGAAAAGAACCAAAUAUUCCAUCUAAUGCAACUAUUUUAUAUACAGUUGAAUUAAAAUCAAGUGAAUUAGAAGCAGAAAUAGAAACCCUUAAUGCUAAUCAGCGAAAAGAAAUUGGCAAUAAAAAACGAGAACGUGGGAAUUGGUGGUUUACUCGUAAUGAACCAACACUUGCAAUUCAAUGUUACCGGAGAGCUUUAGAAUUUUUAUUACCAACAGAAAGUCGUACACCCUAUCAAAGUGAGGCAGAAGAUACUACUGAUGCUGAAUUGCAAGCUUUGUUAGAGGAUCGUAUGAAAGUAUAUAAUAAUUUAGCAGCUGCACAAAUGAAAACACAAGCUUAUGAUGCAGCAUUGAAAAGUGUAGAAAGUGUUCUGAGUUGUCAACCUCAAAAUGUAAAAGCUCUAUUUAGAAAAGGAAAAAUUUUGCAUUAUAAAGGAGAACAUGCAUUAGCAUAUCAAACAUUGCUUCAAGCAGCAAAAUUGGAGCCAGAAACUAAGGCUAUUCAAAUGGAAUUAGCUAUUUUAAAAGAAAAAAAUGCUAAGGAUGCUCAGCAUGAAAAGAAUUUAUAUCGUAAAAUGUUAGGUGCACAUAAAAAUAACAAUACAUCUUUAAAAAAUUUAAAGAAAGGAAAUAAGAAUAAAAAUUCAUCAAAAUUUACAUGGAGCUUAAUUGGUGGAGCAACUGCAGCAGUUUUAAGUGUCCUUUUAUACAGAUUUAUUUCGUGAGAAAAAUUUAAAAUGAAAUUAAAGUGAAAGACAAUGUCCAAGCUAAAUAUUGUGAAAUAUAUUAAUACAUUACUUAAGUAUCGUUGAUUUAAAAUGACUAUAAAGAAUAUGGGUAUAAAAACAACGUAAUUCUAUGACAAGUUUCCAUGUGGCGAGAAAGAUGAUGGGAUCUCUUGAAAGCAGUAUUACAUUGCAUACAAACAAAUGGUCGAUAUUGUUGAUGAGAUAAUUUAUGUCUUUUUAAUAAACUAUUUCGUUUAAA